AAAAAGGGCUUCUGUCAUGAGGGGCACAUGUAGGGCAGCCCCAUCUCUCUUCAUGUGGAAUCGACGUCAAGAGAUUUCAGAAGCAUGAUUUUUUGCUGCCCGGGCGGCCGGUGAUCAUUGGUCCCUGCACACGC
This is a small nuclear RNA of Hyaena hyaena (striped hyena), 134 nucleotides long. RefSeq annotates it as U11 spliceosomal RNA. The transcript has a single exon. Lineage: Eukaryota; Metazoa; Chordata; Mammalia; Carnivora; Hyaenidae. The record is from RefSeq and is a predicted model, not a curated record.